GAUGAACGCUGGCGGCGUGCCUCAAACAUGCAAGUCGAGCGAGGCUAUGAAUUACCGCAAGGUAAGGCAUAGCCUAGCGGCGAACGGGUGAGUAACACGUGGGUAACCUACCUGGAAGACAGGGAUAACGAUUCGAAAGGGUCGCUAAUACCUGAUAAUAUCCGUCUGCCGGAUGGCGGAGGGAAGAAAGGGGAAACCCGCUUUCAGAUGGGCCCGCGUCCCAUCAGCUAGUUGGUAAGGUAAAGGCUUACCAAGGCGACGACGGGUAGCCGGUCUGAGAGGAUGUACGGCCACACUGGGACUGAGAUACGGCCCAGACUCCUACGGGAGGCAGCAGUGGGGAAUCUUCCGCAAUGGGCGCAAGCCUGACGGAGCAACGCCGCGUGAGUGAAGAAGGCCUCGGUUGUAAACUACUGUCAUCAGGAAGAAGAAAGUAGACGGUACCGUCGAGGAGGAAGACCCGGCGUAACUACGUGCCAGCAGCCGCGGUAACGAUAACUCGUA
This 504-nucleotide ribosomal RNA is filed under the name uncultured bacterium. Its description in RNAcentral is "bacterial SSU rRNA". It matches the Rfam family "Bacterial small subunit ribosomal RNA", at positions 28 to 536 of the family's 1533-position model. The record is from RNAcentral.